AACCUAACCCAAUAUAGUCUUUCAGCUUGAGGUAUGGUUUAAAACCAGAAAAACGUAUUAAAGCCCAUAUAGGCUUUAGCUCAUCGUUUUUCUGGUGCAUGUGGGAAACUGCAUGUGGUAGCCGCAAGGCUAUC
RNAcentral lists this small RNA (134 nucleotides) under unclassified sequences. Its description in RNAcentral is "LOOT RNA". It matches the Rfam family "LOOT RNA". From Rfam's summary of the family: Latescibacteria, OD1/Parcubacteria, OP11, TM7. Lineage (Microgenomates, aka OP11) The record is from Rfam by way of RNAcentral.